GAUGAACGCUGGCGGCGUGCUUAACACAUGCAAGUCGAACGGCAAGGCCCUGCUUUUGUGGCGUGCUCGGGUGGCGAACGGGUGAGUAACACGCGCGUACCCUGCCCUUGACUUAGGGGUAAAUUCCGGAAAGUGGGGCGAAUAAAGGAUAGGAGAUACUGCGGCAUGGCGGGGGUUGGUAAGUUACGGCGGGUGGGGUUGGGUUCGCGGUUGAUCAGCUUGUUGGUGGGGUAGAGGCUUAGGAAGGCGUUGACGGGUAGCAGGCCUGAGAGGGUGACCGGCCACAUUGCGCCUGAGCUACGGCCCGGAGUCCUACGGGAGACAGCGGUGGGGAAUAUUGCACGAUGGGCGGAAGCCGGAUGCAGCAUCGCCGCGUGCGGGAUGGUGGCCUUCUGUUUGUAGACCGGUUUCGCCUGUAACGUAGCGUGAGUGACGGUAAUGGAUAAAUAAGCACCGGCUAACUACGUG
This 468-nucleotide ribosomal RNA is filed under the name uncultured bacterium. Its description in RNAcentral is "partial 16S ribosomal RNA". It matches the Rfam family "Bacterial small subunit ribosomal RNA", at positions 28 to 507 of the family's 1533-position model. The record is from RNAcentral.